Molecule: ribosomal RNA, 230 nt
Filed under: uncultured Enterococcaceae bacterium
Lineage: Bacteria; Bacillati; Bacillota; Bacilli; Lactobacillales; Enterococcaceae
Description: partial 16S ribosomal RNA
Rfam family: Bacterial small subunit ribosomal RNA
Source: RNAcentral
UAACACGUGGGUAACCUGCCCAUCAGAAGGGGAUAACACUUGGAAACAGGUGCUAAUACCGUAUAACAAUCGAAACAGCAUGGUUUUGAUUUGAAGGGCGCUUUCGGGUGUCGCUGAUGGAUGGACCCGCGGUGCAUUAGCUAGUUGGUGAGGUAACGGCUCACCAAGGCCACGAUGCAUAGCCGACCUGAGAGGGUGAUCGGCCACAUUGGGACUGAGACACGGCCCAA